RNAcentral lists this ribosomal RNA (559 nucleotides) under uncultured bacterium. RNAcentral describes it as "bacterial SSU rRNA". It matches the Rfam family "Bacterial small subunit ribosomal RNA", at positions 338 to 885 of the family's 1533-position model. The record is from RNAcentral.
CCUACGGGAGGCAGCAGUGGGGAAUUUUGGACAAUGGGCGCAAGCCUGAUCCAGCCAUGCCGCGUGCAGGAUGAAGGCCUUCAGGGUUGUAAACUGCUUUUGUACGGAACGAAAAGACUCCUUCUAAUAAAGGGGGUCCAUGACGGUACCGUAAGAAUAAGCACCGGCUAACUACGUGCCAGCAGCCGCGGUAAUACGUAGGGUGCAAGCGUUAAUCGGAAUUACUGGGCGUAAAGCGUGCGCAGGCGGUUAUAUAAGACAGAUGUGAAAUCCCCGGGCUCAACCUGGGAACUGCAUUUGUGACUGUAUAGCUAGAGUACGGCAGAGGGGGAUGGAAUUCCGCGUGUAGCAGUGAAAUGCGUAGAUAUGCGGAGGAACACCGAUGGCGAAGGCAAUCCCCAUGGGCCUGGUACUGACGCUCAUGCACGAAAGCGUGGGGAGCAAACAGGAUUAGAUACCCUGGUAGUCCACGCCCUAAACGAUGUCAACUGGUUGUUGGAAUUCACUUUCUCAGUAACCGAAGCUAACACGUGGAAGUUGACCGCCUGGGGGAGUACGG